GAUGAACGCUGGCGGCGUGCUUAAUACAUGCAAGUCGAGCGAACGGACGAGAAGCUUGCUUCUCUGAUGUUAGCGGCGGACGGGUGAGUAACACGUGGAUAACCUACCUAUAAGACUGGGAUAACUUCGGGAAACCGUAGCUAAUACCGGAUAAUAUUUUGAACCGCAUGGUUCAAAAGUGAAAGACGGUCUUGCUGUCACUUAUAGAUGGAUCCGCGCUGCAUUAGCUAGUUGGUAAGGUAACGGCUUACCAAGGCAACGAUGCAUAGCCGACCUGAGAGGGUGAUCGGCCACACUGGAAGUGAGACACGGUCCAGACUCCUACGGGAGGCAGCAGUAGGGAAUCUUCCGCAAUGGGCGGAAGCCUGACGGAGCAACGCCGCGUGAGUGAUGAAGGUCUUCGGAUCGUAAAACUCUGUUAUUAGGGAAAAACAUAUGUGUAAGUAACUGUGCACAUCGUGACGGUACCUAAUCAGAAAGCCACGGCUAACUACGUG
RNAcentral lists this ribosomal RNA (497 nucleotides) under uncultured bacterium. RNAcentral's name for it is "partial 16S ribosomal RNA". It matches the Rfam family "Bacterial small subunit ribosomal RNA", at positions 28 to 507 of the family's 1533-position model. The record is from RNAcentral.